This 581-nucleotide small RNA is filed under the name Pongo abelii (Sumatran orangutan). RNAcentral's name for it is "processed transcript". The record is from RNAcentral. Lineage: Eukaryota; Metazoa; Chordata; Mammalia; Primates; Hominidae.
UAUAGAGAUAAGAGAGGGGAGUCUCUGAGGGAUAUAGUAACUUGCCAAGGCUACACAGCUGGCUGCUGACUUGAGUAAACCAAUAGAUAAAAGGAUAUACAAAGGAACACAGCCUACUUGUCAUGACUUCAACCACCUAACAGCCACAGCAGAAAGUGUCUCUCUCCUAGUGGGCUUUUCCGCAGGCCAAGUCCAGCUUAUAGACCCAAUCAAAAAAGAAACUAGCAAACUUUUUAAUGAGGAAAGACUAAUAGACAAGUCACGAGUUACCUGUGUCAAAUGGGUUCCCGGUUCGGAAAGCCUUUUCCUAGUAGCCCACUCGAGUGGGAACAUGUACUUGUAUAAUGUGGAGCACACUUGUGGCACCACAGCCCCCCACUACCAGCUUCUGAAGCAGGGAGAGAGCUUUGCCGUGCACACUUGCAAGAGCAAAUCCACGAGGAACCCUCUCCUUAAGUGGACGGUGGGCGAGGGGGCCCUCAACGAGUUUGCUUUCUCCCCAGAUGGCAAGUUCUUAGCGUGCGUGAGCCAGGACGGGUUUCUGCGGGUGUUCAACUUUGACUCAGUGGAGCUGCACGGUA